UCUCUGGUGGUUCAGUGGUUAGGACUCCAUGCUUUCACUGCCAUGGGCUCAGGUUCAAUCCCUGGCCAGGGAA
RNAcentral lists this transfer RNA (73 nucleotides) under Ovis aries (sheep). It matches the Rfam family "tRNA". Rfam says of the family: Transfer RNA (tRNA) molecules are approximately 80 nucleotides in length. Their secondary structure includes four short double-helical elements and three loops (D, anti-codon, and T loops). Further hydrogen bonds mediate the characteristic L-shaped molecular structure. tRNAs have two regions of fundamental functional importance: the anti-codon, which is responsible for specific mRNA codon recognition, and the 3' end, to which the tRNAs corresponding amino acid is attached (by aminoacyl-tRNA synthetases). tRNAs cope with the degeneracy of the genetic code in two manners: having more than one tRNA (with a specific anti-codon) for a particular amino acid; and 'wobble' base-pairing, i.e. permitting non-standard base-pairing at the 3rd anti-codon position. Lineage: Eukaryota; Metazoa; Chordata; Mammalia; Artiodactyla; Bovidae. The record is from Rfam by way of RNAcentral.